UUGGCGCGGCGGAUAUUAGUUGUUGUUGUUUUACGUAAAAAUCCAGUCAUACGCAUUGUGGAAAGGAAGAUGGCAUUUUGCAAUAAAAUAAAUAAACUAUAAGGAAGUGCUUAAAAUACUACAUGCAAAUAAACUAGCAAAGCGGUAGUGCAAGUGAUUGAUUCUUGGGAAAAAAUAGUGAAGAAUUGAUAUAGGUGUUAAACGAAAGCAGAAAUAGAAUUAGAAAAUAAAAUAUAAACCGAAUGCUAUUUGAAAUCUUUUAAAAGUUAACUAAGUUCAAAUUUUUGAAGAUUUCCGUGGGUGUCUGUUUUAUAAAAAAGUUUAAACAAAUUGUUUUCAUACAAUUAAUUAAAACAUUAAAAUGUUUUAAAACUAAAUUUGUGUUAAAAACGUGAUCGACCGUCUUGCUUCUGUCAAUCUCUUGUGUUUCUGGCAUUUGGCUUGUUUUUGUUUUUGAUUUGUUUUUAUUAUUCUUGUUUGUUUCUUGUUCGAUCAUUCGUCGCCGUCUAAACGGUUGUUGUUCAUAUUCGACGAUUUUAUUUACAUAUUUGUUUAUUUAUAUUACGGAAUUUGUUUAUAAUAAAAAUUCCCCAACAUCAGCAAGUGAGGAGAAAAAAAAUACAUAGGAAAAAAAAAACUCGCGCUCCCCCUUGUGCGUAUGCUCACAUCAAUUCUCACUUGCCAUAGUUAGCAAGCUAGCGGGCGCGCGCAUUGCUUGUGCCAUUCAGUGAAUAUUGAAUAGAUUUUAUGAAUGAAUAAAGAAUAACUGUGGCGGUGACGACAAACAACAACGAACGAGCGACCGGCUAGCAGAAAUAUUGUUUUGAUACCAGAUUUCCUUGGCAAACAAAAACUCUAAGAAAUAAAAGUAUCCAACAAUAUAAUCAAAAGGAAGUUACAAAUUUAAUUUCUAAAACAAAAG
Stomoxys calcitrans (stable fly) is the source of this 922-nucleotide long non-coding RNA. RefSeq lists it as uncharacterized. Lineage: Eukaryota; Metazoa; Arthropoda; Insecta; Diptera; Muscidae. The transcript is spliced from 4 exons. The record is from RefSeq and is a predicted model, not a curated record.